Molecule: ribosomal RNA, 254 nt
Filed under: uncultured bacterium
Lineage: Bacteria
Description: partial 16S ribosomal RNA
Rfam family: Bacterial small subunit ribosomal RNA
Source: RNAcentral
UACGAAGGGGGCUAGCGUUGUUCGGAUUUACUGGGCGUAAAGCGCACGUAGGCGGACUUUUAAGUCAGGGGUGAAAUCCCAGAGCUCAACUCUGGAACUGCCUUUGAUACUGGAAGUCUUGAGUAUGGUAGAGGUGAGUGGAAUUCCGAGUGUAGAGGUGAAAUUCGUAGAUAUUCGGAGGAACACCAGUGGCGAAGGCGGCUCACUGGACCAUUACUGACGCUGAGGUGCGAAAGCGUGGGGGAGCAAACAGG